This 209-nucleotide ribosomal RNA is filed under the name Salmonella enterica. RNAcentral describes it as "partial 23S ribosomal RNA". It matches the Rfam family "Bacterial large subunit ribosomal RNA", at positions 2134 to 2342 of the family's 2925-position model. Lineage: Bacteria; Pseudomonadati; Pseudomonadota; Gammaproteobacteria; Enterobacterales; Enterobacteriaceae. The record is from RNAcentral. RNAcentral also lists the same sequence under 1 other name.
AUGUGUAGGAUAGGUGGGAGGCUUUGAAGUGUGGACGCCAGUCUGCAUGGAGCCGACCUUGAAAUACCACCCUUUAAUGUUUGAUGUUCUAACGUGGACCCGUAAUCCGGGUUGCGGACAGUGUCUGGUGGGUAGUUUGACUGGGGCGGUCUCCUCCUAAAGAGUAACGGAGGAGCACGAAGGUUGGCUAAUCCUGGUCGGACAUCAGG